Molecule: ribosomal RNA, 206 nt
Filed under: Enterobacter sp. LR6
Lineage: Bacteria; Pseudomonadati; Pseudomonadota; Gammaproteobacteria; Enterobacterales; Enterobacteriaceae
Description: partial 23S ribosomal RNA
Rfam family: Bacterial large subunit ribosomal RNA
Source: RNAcentral
CAUGCCAAUGGCACUGCCCGGUAGCUAAAUGCGGAAGAGAUAAGUGCUGAAAGCAUCUAAGCACGAAACUUGCCCCGAGAUGAGUUCUCCCUGAGACUUUAAGUCUCCUGAAGGAACGUUGAAGACGACGACGUUGAUAGGUCGGGUGUGUAAGCGCAGCGAUGCGUUGAGCUAACCGAUACUAAUGAACCGUGAGGCUUAACCUU